Molecule: ribosomal RNA, 253 nt
Filed under: uncultured bacterium
Lineage: Bacteria
Description: partial 16S ribosomal RNA
Rfam family: Bacterial small subunit ribosomal RNA
Source: RNAcentral
UACGUAGGCAGCAAGCGUUGUUCGGAAUUACUGGGCGUAAAGAGUGUGUAGGCGGUGCUCUAAGUUUGGUGUGAAAUCUCCCGGCUCAACUGGGAGGGUGCGCCGAAAACUGGAAUGCUUGAACGUGGGAGAGGAAAGCGGAAUUCCUGGUGUAGCGGUGAAAUGCGCAGAUAUCAGGAGGAACACCAAUGGCGAAGGCAGCUCGCUGGGACGGUACUGACGCUGAGACGCGAAAGCGUGGGGAGCAAACAGG